GGGCACAGCCCCACCAGCACGGGCAGCCAAGAGCCACUGAGGGCCUGAAACCCCCUAAGGCUUGGACCUCAGGCCUCCAAGCACUUCCUGGGAGGAUGAGCGCAGAGGCUGUGGUGGGACCAGGCUGCGCUGCAGCCUCCUGUCGACUUCACAGCCCGUGUCUGGCGGAGCCAUUUGACGGGUCUAGGACUGCGCUUUCCGGUCCGUCACAGCAGGCGGGGGUCAGGGCCACGGCCUCCUGAAGGCCCCCGUGAAAAGCUCCAAGACCCCAGCAGCACCCUCACUCAUCUUGCAGAGGAGGCUGCAACGUGCCGAUGAUUUAGGUAGCAACUCACGGCCUGAAGGGGACGUGUUGGAGGAACACUGGCAGCCUGGCUUUGUCACUGGUUCAAUUCUCCACUUUUAAGGACUCAGGGGAUUAGACUGGGCCCAAGGAUAACCCAGGAUGACUGCCCUAUCUCAAGAACCUCAACUUUAAUCGCAUCUGCAAAGUCCCUUUGCCCUGAAAGGUUGUGGACUAUGUAACCCAUUCUCUGUCCGGGCUGGACCACACAUGGCAUCCUGAAAUCACUUUUUGGUAUCAUAAUACAAGAGGGACUGGCCACCUGGAUGCAUUCUGAGAGGGUGAGUGAUGAUGAGGCAAAGAGAAUCACAAGCUAUGAGGACUGGCUGAAAGAAGCAGGACUGUCCAGCCUGGGAGAUGAAGGGGAAUGUGAGCACUGGCUCUGAGCCUGUGAAACGGAGCUUGUUGGAAAGAACCCUUCUUCUACACAAGCCCCUGGGAGAUGACUAUUAGGUCCAGCGGUGAGAAGUGGGCUCUGUGCUAGGGGCUUCUUGCUUUCAGAGGGGAAGCCACAGAUAAAGCGACCUUGGUGCGGGGCGGAGAUCACCCAGCUGGCUGCAAGUGAGACACACUGUCUGCUUCAGUAGGACGUUGGAUCUCAUGACUUGCUUUGACUCUGAUUUUGCACAGUUGUCAAAGAUGGCCCCACAACUCUGACUUGAUUCUGUCUUUGGGUGUAAAGGUCUCAACGAAGAGACAGAGGUCCUAUGAAAGAAAGAGAUCUGCCCAAGGUCUGAAAAUAGUGGUUGCAAAGCUGAAUUUGGAAACCAAGCCCCCUGAUGCUUGACCCAGGCCCCCAUUUUGCUGCCAGUGUUUGUGGAGGAACAAAGAGCCCAAUGCCUCCUCCUUAUAUACACUGUCUCCUGGGUCUCCAGACUCUGGGUUUUCAGUCUUGCACGCUCACUGUCUCAGAGGCCUUUAAAGAGAAAGGAACCCUACAAUUUGAAAUUUUAAUACUUAUUUUUUCAAUGACAAGAUGAGGAAAAAAUCAUAUCAAAUCAGACUGGUUUCCUCUGAAGAUUUUACUUCUGCUCUGAGCUGUUUUGAGGUGACCAACUGCUCUAAUUAGGCUGGAAGUAAAACUGGCUUUCAUGAGAUUCAGGAUAUGGCUGGAGGGGAAAGCUGUCAAGACUGGUUAAGAUCAUGAGCACCCACACUGGCCUCAGAGCAUUCCAGGAAUCCAUUGAUUCAUUCCAUAAUUCAUUCCACCCAGUAACCACAAACACAGACGUGCAGGAAGAACAGACAUCACUGACUGAGGCUGUCUUGUUAAUACACCCAGGGUGGUACAAAGCAGAAAAUUUUUCACACUUCAGUCUACUGCCAGCCCCCUACCCCACUGGGGGGAACGGAGGGAGUGCUACAGAAAGAAGUCAGGACUGAGGUUCCCAAUCCCACCUCUUCCUUUCUAAUGUGUGCUGACCUAUGAAGGGAAGAAAUAAGGGCCAGUUCUUUCUAAGUAGACGGAGUUCUGGGGAGGACCAAAGGAGACGGAGGAUGGGAAAGUACUUUGCAAAGUGAAAAACACUGCACUGACAUGAGGGUUUACUCCCUUAAGGAACACUGGACACCUAUUAAAAGACACACGCCAUGCUGAACGCCAGGGAUAUUGAGCUGAAAAAAAACCAGACCCUGCACUCAGGAAGACAAUCAGAUCUAACACAAAGGGCAAGCUCGGAUGGAAAGCGCAGGGGACCCUGAGCGCAGGAGGGGUUGGGCAGGAGCAAAGGUGAUGGUGAAGAUGGGCGUGAACAGAGUACUAAGGCAGGAGAAGGACUGUACUGGAUUCUAGAAACGAUCUCACUCUCCUUAUUUUAUUUCAUACUCAAAGUGGUCUGCGAAAUGGGUGCUAAUUUCACCAUUUCCCUACCGUGCUGGAAAGCACAGCUCCCGCUGUGGGGAGCACCCUGCCUGGUGGACAAGACCAGGAAUGCUCCCCCUACAAAUGUCGAGUGCUGAGGCCAAGAAUGGCUGCUCUAAAACCAGAGGCCAUUCUAUUGUACAAUUCUCUUUUCCUGAAACCAGUGAUACCACCUUCCAGGGUGGCCAACAAAAACCAUUACUAGGAAGGCAGCUGGUAUGGCUUAGUUCCUUAGCCUGGGUUGACAGGUAAUGUAAUUACUUUAUUAAUGAACUGAUUUUCAAAAAAAACCCCAAACUGAAUAUUGUAAAAAAAAAAAAACAACCAAAACCAAACAACUUUGUCCAAGUUUGCUGAACGCUAUUUCUUUCAAGUAGUUUUGCUGGUGACUGAUUUAAUCCUCUGCCGAGCUAACACUCCUGGCAGGAAUCACACGCAGAUGCGUGCUGCGCAGCAAAAGCCACGUGGACGUGGCAGGGUGCAGAGAAGUGAGCACUGAGCUGGGAGUCAGGAGACGGACUGCACCUGCCCUCAGAUCUCGGGCAACCGAGUGCCCUCGAGGCCUCUGCAUCAUCAUCUGUACCACGAGGGACUGGUCUAGCAGGCCACCUGAGCAUUCCCAGCACCUGGUCUGAGUCUCGGUUUCCUCAUUUCUACACUGUUGGUAAAGAUUAAAUUAAAAAAUGAAUGGGAAAGAUUGUUAAAAAGUGGACCAGCUCACUUGUCAGAGAAGCCUGUCAGCGAGGUGUGGGGCAUAGCCCUUGGCUUUGCUAAUACUCGGGGCCACCGAGGCCGGGCCAACUUCCUCGCGCAUGGGGAUUUCUAGCGGUGGUUCCAACUAAGAAACUGCAACUCAUCUGCGCCUCAUGGGCAGGUCUACAGAAAACUGCAUGGCCGGGAGUCACUAUGAAGUAGCACCGUUCGCAGCGGUUACUUUUCCCAUCACCAAGCCCAACCAAAGCUGUGCCCAGACCACCCUUCUCACUAGUUUACAUGCAACAGGAACUUUUUAGCAGGGAACCCUUGCCGUGCAUCCUCCACACGACUGCCACCACCCGGCAGUCAUUGCCUGGUGUGGGGGACUCUCUUCAACUUGCACUAAAUUCCUCUUCAACUCCAUUAAUCUGGAUCUAGCUAAUAGCAGAGUUCAUGAUUUUAAAAAAAAUCCUAUCAUCCUGGCCUAGAAUCUAGAAACAAAUGUAUCUGUUUUGACACACACCACUCAAAUCUUCGCACACAAACGGGCUGGUAAAUCCGCCCAGCUCUGCCUCCUCUGGGCGUCCACUCAUCUCACACUGUAGCAGCUUUCAAACCCGUUGGCCUUGGAGGCACCUACUGGACAGUGACUAGAUCCAGUUUCUCCAUUUGCCAGACCCUCAAAGAGCUCACAAACUCCAGCUCUUCACAAAGCGUUUCAGCUCUGGCUUGUAACACAUAACCUCCACUUCCCACUCAACCUCGGUCUCCUUUUCCACCUGCGUUUACUGCCAGGACACGUGUCCCUGAUCAGAUAGACAUACCUGUGAACCUGCAGGUGGAAUGCGGAGGGACAGGCACACCCCACUGCACCCACCUGCACUGACCACAGUUCUUACAUCCUCUGGGAAACCCUGCCUGGCCAGGGUCUUGGCCCCGUUCCCUCCUCUGGGUCCCCUGGCAGCCCGUGUGUAAUGAUUCUACAGCACACAGACAAAAGGGACACCUUUCGGCGAUCUGUUCCAGGGGCCGCUCCACCACCAACGCUGCCAAGUUGGGCAGGGGCUGUGUUUUAAGUCAUCUCUGCAGCCCCGGCCGGCAUGAAUUGUUGAUGUGUAAAUGGAGGACUAAUGGAUGGAGGAAGGUGGAGUCAGGGAAGCCCUAUACAUUAUCGUGAAAUGGCCUGACCUUAAAACUUGAGGACGGAGACAAGUCCCAGCUCUGUCCUUUGGUAGCAGCAUGAUUCCAGACAACUCUCUCAUCCCUCCCCCAGGCUCAUUUCAUUACCAGUAACACAAGGUGAUGGUCCCAAUGCUACCACGGGACUAAUGCGGAGACCACGGGUGUACUAGAAGGCAAGUGCAAAGGGGAGACGUUGUUUUCAUUUCAAAAUCUUUUCUAGCCUGGCACUUGGGAUAGGGACUGCCAAUGAAAACAUACUCUGCAAACGUGAAGAAUGCCAGGCUAAUCCCAUGUACUAGCACUUCCAUACAAUCUGAAGCUCAGGAGGCAUGAGGCUCGGGCCGAUGGUCCUGGCUGUCCAGUGAGUCCUCCGAGAGCCCUAGAUAAGUGAGCCCUCUGUGGGCCUCAGUGUCCAAAUACACAGAGCAGAGAGACACCUGGAUAAUCUCCAAGCCUCGGCCUGCUGGCUCUUGCCCCCAGGCUGGCAAGAUGGCUUCUAGGUGGUCUCCCUCUUUUCCCUGACCUUGACCCUGUCCUUCCCCACUCAGAGUCACAGGCCGCUUUAAGUCUGUCAACCUCUCUCUCCUAGGAAGCACUCAACACAGGCUGGGGUCAGUUACUCUCUUACUGUCUUCAUCCCUCACUUUUCCUCCAGUAAUUUCUAUUUUAAUUAAUGCCAUCGCAAUUUAUUUGGCAGGCAAUCUGGGCAUUUCUUUCCUAUUCCUCACUGUGUCCAAGAACUGAUAACCCACAUCAAACCUUAGCAGUUCUUGCCUGGGCUAAUUCGACAGCUUCUCAACUGGCUUCCUCGCCUCUAGUUACAUCUAGCUCCUUCAAACCCAUCUUCCACAUCAUCAGUUCCAGGAGUAAUCAAGGUUAACAUGCAAAUCUGACAAAGUCAAGUACCACGUAAAACUCUGUGAAGGAGACCUGUCUCCUGUGGGCAAGCUACUGUGCCCAGACUUGUCGCCAGCACAGCCCACACUCCCACUCACUGUCCACUGAGGCUGGAAGGAAGGCCGCCCGCUCUCUGACCUCCCACAGUGGGAGAAGGCUCAGUUUAGGCUUUGUCUCUCCAGGAAGCUUCCAGGACUCACCCAGGGGUGCCCACACAUUUGGGAUCCACACGCACCCUGGAUGUGCUGGGAUAACACUGCAAUUACAAUGGCCUACCUUGGCACCUGUCUACAUCGAGCACCCUCGGAGGGGAGUCCCUGGGUUUUAUCCCUGUUGCCCCAUCCCUAGUGCCUGGCAGACUGAGUGUUCAACCAGGUUUCCCACAGCCUCUAGCAGAAGCCUUCUGGACAGUUUUAACAUGGGAUCCUGGAGCAAAGGGCUGGUGUCACUGUCAUUGUGUGUGUGUGUUUAAGCAAAAUCUAUAUGCUCAGGAAAUGCUGUAUCUCACGAAAAAUUUAAAUGUUUAAAAAGAUGAAGUUUCUCUCUCCUUUCUCAGCUCCCUCCAGAGGCCACUCCUGGUACUGUUAAGGCAGGACGGGGAGCAAACCGAGGCAGGGAGGGAGGCACGCCUCACCCACUAACUCAGCGGCUGUGAGCCUGGUCUGGUCAGAUUGCCAGGUGCCUGAAAAUCACAAGAAAAACCGUUGUAGUGAAGGAGGAGGGGAGCCCUUGAAGUUCUGUGUGUAUCGUUUCCACUAGCUGGGAAAGAAAGCCCUUGAAACUGUGCGUUCAUCCCCAGGUCUUGAGAGGGGAGGAGGAGGGGAACCCAGAAGCUGGCUACCAGCAUGAGACCCCCCAAAAUCCCGAUGGUCAGGGCACACAGGCCAGCUGGGUGCCCGUCUGCAGCUCAGUGCUCCACUGUGUUUCAUAAAUAAACCUGCUAUCUCAGUUCCACGGGGCGUGCUGCCUCUCACUUGCAUUCAUCUCUUGUGAGCUGAGACAAGAACCAAGGAGGGGGAGCUCCCUAUUAUUGUUACUGGUCUCCCCAGUAACAGUAAUAGUUUCGAGUAUAUUCUUUCCCAGCCAUCCUUUGCAACAUCCAGGCAGGUCUGUGAGGCCCCAGCCCCCUUUUCCCUCAUAAAUGGGUGUGCACCACCCCCUCCAUUCUACACCUGAGACACAACAGAUGGGCUUCACGGAUUCACCCACACAACCCCUGAAACUGUCUGCAACAUUGUGGUCGAGCAUGUUGCAUUUUUCCAGGGGACUCUGUGAAUAACUUCCAUUAACUUUUCAAAGGUGCUCCUGAACUCCAAAAAAGGAGACUGUCCCACCGCAAAAAGCAUACGAACUGCCCUGAGCCCAGGACUACCACUGAAGCCCCGUCACAGUAUGAUCCCCUGCUCGGGGAUCGCUGAGCCCACAGAGGAGGGGGCUUGAAGCGGGGGACACCUCCACCUGUCAGUAACAGAGGAGCUGGGAGCAAUUCGGAGUGUGUGGGAACUUCCAAUGUCAAUGCAAGUCGAAUACAGAGUCAGGGAGUUCCGUUUGGCCCAGCACGCUGGAGUCCAUUUGCUAAAGGCAGCAAUGCAAUAGAGAUCUCUGUCUGAAUUCCUUUCUGGUCUCAGUUCAUGGGGACUCUGGAGCUGCACUGUGCAAUACCUCAGCCUCAAGCCGCUGUGACUAGGAGCACCUGAAACGCGGCCAGUCUGAAAAGGGGGUGAUGGCAGUGUAAAUUCUUACCAAUCGCAAAGACUUAAUAUAAGAAAGUCAU
Molecule: long non-coding RNA, 6753 nt
Organism: Artibeus jamaicensis (Jamaican fruit-eating bat)
Lineage: Eukaryota; Metazoa; Chordata; Mammalia; Chiroptera; Phyllostomidae
Exons: 3
Source: RefSeq, a predicted model, not a curated record